This 571-nucleotide ribosomal RNA is filed under the name uncultured bacterium. RNAcentral's name for it is "partial 16S ribosomal RNA". It matches the Rfam family "Bacterial small subunit ribosomal RNA", at positions 355 to 1375 of the family's 1533-position model. The record is from RNAcentral.
UGGGGAAUAUUGCGCAAUGGGCGGAAGCCUGACGCAGCGACGCCGCGUGGGGGAUGACGGCCUUCGGGUUGUAAACCUCUUUCAGCAGGGACGAAGCCGUGAGGUGACGGUACCUGCAGAAGAAGCACCGGCCAACUACGUGCCAGCAGCCGCGGUAAUACGUAGGGUGCAAGCGUUGUCCGGAAUUAUUGGGCGUAAAGAGCUCGUAGGCGGUUCGUCGCGUCGGCUGUGAAAACCUGAGGCUCAACUUCAGGCCUGCAGUCGAUACGGGCGGACUUGAGUACUGCAGGGGAGACUGGAAUUCCUGGUGUAGCGGUGAAAUGCGCAGAUAUCAGGAGGAACACCGGUGGCGAAGGCGGGUCUCUGGGCAGUAACUGACGCUGAGGAGCGAAAAGCGUGGGGAGCGAACAGGAUUAGAUACCCUGGUAGUCCACGCCGUAAACGUUGGGCGCUAGGUGUGGGGGCCAUUCCACGGUCUCCGUGCCGCAGCUAACGCAUUAAGCGCCCCGCCUGGGGAGUACGGCCGCAAGGCUAAAACUCAAAUGAAUUGACGGGGUCAUAGCUGUUUCCU